AUGCACGCUGGCGGCGUGCCUAAUACAUGCAAGUCGAGCGAACAGACGAGGAGCUUGCUCCUCUGACGUUAGCGGCGGACGGGUGAGUAACACGUGGAUAACCUACCUAUAAGACUGGGAUAACUUCGGGAAACCGGAGCUAAUACCGGAUAAUAUAUUGAACCGCAUGGUUCAAUAGUGAAAGACGGUUUUGCUGUCACUUAUAGAUGGAUCCGCGCCGCAUUAGCUAGUUGGUAAGGUAACGGCUUACCAAGGCAACGAUGCGUAGCCGACCUGAGAGGGUGAUCGGCCACACUGGAACUGAGACACGGUCCAGACUCCUACGGGAGGCAGCAGUAGGGAAUCGUCCGCAAUGGGCGAAAGCCUGACGGAGCAACGCCGCGUGAGUGAUGAAGGUCUUCGGAUCGUAAAACUCUGUUAUUAGGGAAGAACAAAUGUGUAAGUAACUAUGCACGUCUUGACGGUACCUAAUCAGAAAGCCACGGCUAACUACG
RNAcentral lists this ribosomal RNA (494 nucleotides) under uncultured bacterium. RNAcentral describes it as "partial 16S ribosomal RNA". It matches the Rfam family "Bacterial small subunit ribosomal RNA", at positions 29 to 505 of the family's 1533-position model. The record is from RNAcentral.